GCAAGUGUGGGCGAGGAGUCGAGUUAAUAUAGAGGGUGGUAGAGUUAAGCUGAAUUACAUGGCUGAAAUGGGUCGUAUGUGUCUGUUUAAGGCAGAUGUGAACGCCCCUGGCUGAAACUGGGAACUGCAUCUGAUACUGGACGGCUAGAGUAGGUGAGAGGGGAGUAGAAGUCCAGGUGUAGCGGUGAAAUGCGUAGAGAUCUGGAGGAAUACCGAUGGCGAAGGCAGCUCCCUGGCAUCAUACUGACACUGAGGUUCGAAAGCGUGGGUAGCAAACAGGAUUAGAUACCCUGGUAGUC
This 299-nucleotide ribosomal RNA is filed under the name uncultured Hyunsoonleella sp. RNAcentral's name for it is "partial 16S ribosomal RNA". It matches the Rfam family "Bacterial small subunit ribosomal RNA", at positions 497 to 795 of the family's 1533-position model. The record is from RNAcentral. Lineage: Bacteria; Pseudomonadati; Bacteroidota; Flavobacteriia; Flavobacteriales; Flavobacteriaceae.